CCUACGGGAGGCUGCAGUGAGGAAUAUUGGUCAAUGGGCGCGAGCCUGAACCAGCCAAGUCGCGUGAGGGAUGACGGCCCUACGGGUUGUAAACCUCUUUUGCCGGGGAGCAACGGGCGCCACGUGUGGCGCCACUGAGAGUACCCGGAGAAAAAGCAUCGGCUAACCCCGUGCCGGCAGCCGCGGUAAUACGGAGGAAGCGAGCGUCAUCCGGAUUUAUUGGGUUUGAAGGGUGCGUAGGCGGAUCGUUAAGGCCGUGGUAAAAUUGAGGGGCUCAACCCCUUCCCGCCAUUGAAACUGGCGCUCUUGAGUGGAAGAGAAGUAUGCGGAAUGCGUGGUGGAGCGGUGAAAUGCAUAGAUAUCACGCAGAACCCCGAUUGCGAAGGCAGCAUGCCGGCUUCCGACUGACGCUGAAGCACGAAAGCGUGGGGAUCGAACAGGAUUAGAUACCCUGGUAGUC
RNAcentral lists this ribosomal RNA (460 nucleotides) under uncultured bacterium. RNAcentral describes it as "partial 16S ribosomal RNA". It matches the Rfam family "Bacterial small subunit ribosomal RNA", at positions 338 to 795 of the family's 1533-position model. The record is from RNAcentral.